RNAcentral lists this ribosomal RNA (283 nucleotides) under Stenotrophomonas sp. 5P. Its description in RNAcentral is "partial 16S ribosomal RNA". It matches the Rfam family "Bacterial small subunit ribosomal RNA", at positions 1080 to 1361 of the family's 1533-position model. The record is from RNAcentral. Lineage: Bacteria; Pseudomonadati; Pseudomonadota; Gammaproteobacteria; Lysobacterales; Lysobacteraceae.
UUAAGUCCCGCAACGAGCGCAACCCUUGUCCUUAGUUGCCAGCACGUAAUGGUGGGAACUCUAAGGAGACCGCCGGWGACAAACCGGAGAAAGGUGGGGAUGACGUCAAGUCCUCGUGGCCCUUACGGCCAGGGCUACACACGUACUACAAUGGUAGGGACAGAGGGCUGCAAGCGGGAGACGGUAAGCCAAUCCCAGAAACCCUAUCUCAGUCCGGAUUGGAGUCUGCAACUCGACUCCAUGAAGUCGGAAUCGCUAGUAAUCGCAGAUCAGCAUUGCUGCG